CAGCCGCCGCGGUAAUACGGAGGGUGCGAGCGUUAAUCGGAAUUACUGGGCGUAAAGCGUACGCAGGCGGUUUGUUAAGUCAGAUGUGAAAUCCCCGAGCUUAACUCGGGAACUGCAUUUGAAACUGGCAGGCUAGAGUCUCGUGGAGGGGGGUAGAAUUCCAGGUGUAGCGGUGAAAUGCGUAGAGAUCUGGAGGAAUACCGGUGGCAAAAGCGGCCCCCUGGACGAAGACUGACGCUCAGGUACGAAAGCGUGGGGAGCAAACAGGAUUAGAUACCCCUGUAGUCCCUGUCUCUUAUAC
This 301-nucleotide ribosomal RNA is filed under the name uncultured bacterium. Its description in RNAcentral is "partial 16S ribosomal RNA". It matches the Rfam family "Bacterial small subunit ribosomal RNA", at positions 509 to 807 of the family's 1533-position model. The record is from RNAcentral.